RNAcentral lists this ribosomal RNA (254 nucleotides) under uncultured bacterium. Its description in RNAcentral is "partial 16S ribosomal RNA". It matches the Rfam family "Bacterial small subunit ribosomal RNA", at positions 524 to 776 of the family's 1533-position model. The record is from RNAcentral.
UACGAAGGGGGCGAGCGUUGUUCGGAAUUACUGGGCGUAAAGAGCUCGUAGGUGGUUUGUCGCGUUGUUCGUGAAAACUCACAACUCAAUUGUGGGCGUGCGGGCGAUACGGGCAGACUGGAGUACUGCAGGGGAGACUGGAAUUCCUGGUGUAGCGGUGGAAUGCGCAGAUAUCAGGAGGAACACCGGUGGCGAAGGCGGGUCUCUGGGCAGUAACUGACGCUGAGGAGCGAAAGCGUGGGGGAGCGAACAGG